UUCCUGGUUGACUGCCGGAUGCUACCGCUAUUGGAGUUCGAUUAAGCCAUGCGAGUCGAGAGUCCUCGGGACUCGGCGUACCGCUCAGUAACACGUGGGUAACCUGCCCUAUGCUGGGGAAUAACCUCUGGGAAACUGAGAAUAAUGCCCCAUAGCCCACUACGCCUGGAACGGUGAGUGGGUCAAAGCUCCGGCGGCAUAUGAUGGGCCUGCGCCGUAUCAGGUUGUAGGGGGUGUAAAGUACCCUCUAGCCAUCAACGCGUACGGGUGUUGGGAGACAUUGCCCGGAGAUGGAUUCUGAGACACGACUCCAGACCCUACGGGGUGCAGCAGGCGCGAAAACUUGGCAAAUGCGAGAAAUCGUGACCAGAGAACUCCAAGUGCGUAGGGUAAGAACUACGCUUUACUUGACUCUUCACAGGUCUUGGACUAAGGGGUGGGUAACGGACGGUGCCAUGACGACAGAGGUUAAUACCCGGCGCCCUCAAGAUGGUAGUCAGAUUUCAUUAGGGCCUAAUAACGUCCCGUAGACCGGUCAUGGUGCAUACGCUGGGUAACAUCAACACAGCAUAAACGGUGUAGAACUAUAGCGAACGACAGGCUAGACUAGACACCUAGACAACGUCG
Molecule: ribosomal RNA, 627 nt
Filed under: uncultured archaeon
Lineage: Archaea
Description: bacterial SSU rRNA
Rfam family: Archaeal small subunit ribosomal RNA
Source: RNAcentral